Molecule: transfer-messenger RNA, 353 nt
Filed under: Elusimicrobiota bacterium
Lineage: Bacteria; Pseudomonadati; Elusimicrobiota
Description: Elusimicrobia bacterium (microbial mat metagenome) transfer-messenger RNA
Rfam family: transfer-messenger RNA
About the family: Bacterial tmRNA, also known as 10Sa RNA or SsrA, is named for its dual tRNA and mRNA-like properties. Its role is to liberate the mRNA from a stalled ribosome.
Source: RNAcentral
GGGGGUGCACAGGGUUCGACAGGAAUUGUGCAGGUAUGCAUUGCAGGCCCAAGGUGGUCGAAGGCUUGGUAAAAAUUCGACCAAAAAACAUAAACGCCAACGAAAAUCUGGCGCUGGCUGCUUAAUUAGCAGCUGCGUUUACCUUUCUUGCCUGCGGGAAAGAAUAAACGUCAAGAAGCAGGAUAUGCAUGCAUAAACCCGUCUGAUUUGUGCAUGUGAGAACCGAUCAGGCUGGCGGUAUGUGUUUCGUGCCCGGUAGAGAGCAUAUCGCGAGAUUUAAUGCCGGGAAAAGCCUGUAGGAAUGAUAGUUGUGUGAUUCUUGGACGCGGGUUCGAUUCCCGCCACCUCCACCA